This is a non-coding RNA of Parelaphostrongylus tenuis, 73 nucleotides long. Lineage: Eukaryota; Metazoa; Nematoda; Chromadorea; Rhabditida; Metastrongylidae. The record is from the annotation of a GenBank genome assembly.
GCCAUGGUGGUGUAGUGGUCGAGCACGUGUCCUCGGAUAGGAUGAAACGCGGGCUAGAUUCCCGCCUGAGGCC